AAAUAAACACACUUCCUGCAGCUGUCCUCCCCAUCAGAACACAGGAUGUUUCUCUUCACAACUAAAUAAGUGAUGAAAUAGAUGAAAUGAUCAUCCACAGCAGCACGGCAGGCUGUGAGCUCAUUCACAACCCCCCUCACAACUUCUUCUCUCCAAAGAAUGGAGCUGUCAUGCUGCUCAGCCCUAUGUGAAGGCUCAUUUCCUCCCAGCAUCAUCCAGAGGACAACAAAUGGCCAGAAAACACUGUUCUCCAGAUAGGAACUCAUACGUGGAGAUAGCCGGGGGGGGCAGAGACUAUGAGAGUGACGCUGUGAGGAGAGAGACCACCAAUCAGCUGGAAGACCUGCGUUAUCAGCCCCAUGUGUUGGGAAGCAUCAAGCUGAAUACCACCUCAGUGGGGAUAAUGUCCUGUGACACUGAAGUUGCCAGGUCAGGUGGAGCCAAAUGACACG
Molecule: long non-coding RNA, 452 nt
Organism: Acanthopagrus latus (yellowfin seabream)
Lineage: Eukaryota; Metazoa; Chordata; Actinopteri; Spariformes; Sparidae
Exons: 3
Source: RefSeq, a predicted model, not a curated record